GGUUUUGUGGCUCAGUGGUAGAGCACUUGCCUUGCAUGUGUGAGACACUAGGUUUAAUCCUCAGCACCA
Molecule: transfer RNA, 69 nt
Filed under: Marmota marmota marmota (Alpine marmot)
Lineage: Eukaryota; Metazoa; Chordata; Mammalia; Rodentia; Sciuridae
Also listed under: 2 other names
Rfam family: tRNA
About the family: Transfer RNA (tRNA) molecules are approximately 80 nucleotides in length. Their secondary structure includes four short double-helical elements and three loops (D, anti-codon, and T loops). Further hydrogen bonds mediate the characteristic L-shaped molecular structure. tRNAs have two regions of fundamental functional importance: the anti-codon, which is responsible for specific mRNA codon recognition, and the 3' end, to which the tRNAs corresponding amino acid is attached (by aminoacyl-tRNA synthetases). tRNAs cope with the degeneracy of the genetic code in two manners: having more than one tRNA (with a specific anti-codon) for a particular amino acid; and 'wobble' base-pairing, i.e. permitting non-standard base-pairing at the 3rd anti-codon position.
Source: Rfam by way of RNAcentral